RNAcentral lists this long non-coding RNA (5173 nucleotides) under Sus scrofa (pig). RNAcentral's name for it is "lncRNA (ENSSSCG00040006234.1)". Lineage: Eukaryota; Metazoa; Chordata; Mammalia; Artiodactyla; Suidae. The record is from RNAcentral.
AUGCAAGCCCUUUAUCAGAUAUAUAUUAUGCAACUACUUUCUCUAGAUUGUGACUUAUAUUUUUGUUUCUUAAUGGUGUCUUUCUAAAAGAAAAUGUUCUUAAUUUUUAUGAAGUCCAAUUUAUUAAUUUUUUUCUUUUAUAGAUUUUACUUUUAUGGCACAUCUAAGAAAUCUUUGCCUAACUUAGGUUUUAUAGUUUUAUCUCUUACAUUUAAGACUUUGAUCCAUUUUAAGAUAAUUUUUGUGCAUGGUGUGAAGUAAGGGUCAAAGUUUAUUUUUUUCCAUAUGAAUGAUGAAAUUAUUUAUGAUUCCCUUUUCAAUGACUGAAAAAAAGAGAUUCAAGGAGGUCAAGUAAGAAGCCCCAAAGCACAGAUUAUAAGAGACUGCGCUGCACUUGAACUCAGAUCUCCUGAUUCCAAAUAAAGUACUAUUUGCAGGCCCCCUGAAUUUGCUGAGGUGCCUACAUUUUCUUUAAGAUUGUGGUAAGAGUAGCUUGGAGGCAGACUAACCUUAUUUCAAGUCCUGGCUCCAUUUCUUACUCUGGGCAAGUUACUUAGAACUUUUAAGCCUCCCUUUUUUUCCAUUUGUAAUAUGGCACUAAUAAGAGUACCUCCCUCAUAAGAGUGAGAGCAUUCUUUAAAACAAUGCAUAUAAAGUGCUUACCAUGAGUCUAGUAUUUAGCAGGUGCUUCAUACAAGUUAGUGUGUUGGGAUGACUUUUCUUACCCCUCAGCUCUUGUCUCAAUUGGAGACCAUACCCAGCCGCUUCUGAGCCAUGGCACACUCCCAACAGGUAUAGCAGGAGAUGUGGAGAAAACUGAGAAAAGAGGCAGACACUUUCUACCAUAAUAAUCCAGUGGGGUUGUACUGGGUGAGUUGUUUGGCCUCAACAAUAGUACACUGCAUGUGUCUAAUAGGCAUUCCACCUUGAAGCUAUUUUGCUGACUUUUCCUAUCCUCAUCCACCAAGCUAGAGCUGCACAAGGUGUAGACAUUACAAGCUGUGAUGGACCCACCCCAAGAUGGUCCCCCAACCAUCCUUGCCUUCUGGUAUUCACAUCCUGUAUAAUCCCUCCAGUGACUUGCUUCCAACCAAAAGAACUGACGACAAAAGUAAUGGAUGUCAAGACUCCAAUUACAAGAGCUUCUAACACCAGUUUUGCAAACAAGACUCUGUCCAGCAGGCUUUAGUAAAGCAAGUGGCCAUGAUCAGAAGGUUCAUGCAGCAAAGAAAUGAAGGCAGAAUUCUAUAAAAAAACAGCUAGAACCUGGGGGUAGCUUUCAUGUAUCAGCCAGCAAGAAACUGAGGCUCUUAAUCCAACAGGCCAUAAGAAAAAGAAACAGAAGAUGAGCGUAAAGAGCAAAGGAGGUCAAAGACCUGGGGAAGGAGUCCAAUAGGGGGUCCCUUUAUGUGAGCUGAGGAGUCCCCUAUCGUUUCAAAUAUGCUCAGUGAUGCACACAGAAAUUCCAGCAGGCCUAGGACUUUCUGGACCACUCUUGGGUAAAUGCAAGUCCUACCAUCACCUUAAGUAGCAAACAUGGCCUCAGCCGGGUACUUAUGACGCCUACCCCCUUGUGGUAAUCAAGUGGACUGUAAAUGAGACUGGGGGUUUCUCUUUCUCCUUUGCUUCAGUAGGGCCAGGCAUGUGCCAGCCUCCUGCCUUCUAAACAGAGGCAUGGGGGGAACUUUUCAUUUCUUUCUCUACUUCUCUUUACUCAGACUACUAACCAUGGCUUCUGCUCUCCCCAGUCUUGGAGUACGGAAAGGGAUGGAUGGGAGAGACUUAUUCAUCUGACACUGCUAUAAGAUGACUCUGGGCUCUAUGGGCCUGGCAGAGGUGUAUACUGGUUCUUUAUUUUCUGAGCACUUUGUGGGUUCUUCUGGGGGCUCUUCAGCUGAGUCCCUCUGUCUGCUAUUCUCCUAAUUCAGGCAAAAUUCCUCUUUCAUAUGAAUGUUCCCCACCUUCCUUCUCAGCUUCAGUUUAUUUUCUGAAAGGCUAUAUCAUACAGGCUCUCUGCAGGAGUGACUUGCUUUCUGGAAGAAGCUCUUUGGGAAAAGAUUCCUUUCUAUUUUAUUAUUUAUUUAUAUUUUUGGCCGCAUCCAUGGCAUGCAGAAAUUCCAGGGCCAUGGAUCAGGCACAAGCCACAAUAGUGACAAUGCCACAUCCUUAACCUGCUGCACCACCAAGGAAACUCCAAGAUUCCUCUUUAGAUAGCUCUAUGCAAACGUUUCUACCAUGGAUUCCAUAUUUGGCUCUCUGUGUCCCUGGACCUUUCACCUCCAAUAGUGGAGACAGAAGUUUCUCCCAAUAUAGCAGCAAUUCCAUUUCCUUCUGCCUUGCCAUCUCCACCUAGAAAUUCAUCACAUUUCUCAAGUGUGUAUGAAACAUUAGUCAGUCAUGCCCACUUUAUUUCCAAGGGACAUAUAACAAUGUGUCAAGUGAUCUUCUGGCAAAGUUCUGACCUUACACUUGAGGUAAGGGGUAAACCACCCACCACCUCUGCCUCUGGAAGGUUAAGUCUUACCAAAUAGCAUCCAAUCAAUGUAAAGAUGGUUUUUCACAAAUGCUUCUUCAAAAUCUACUCUUAAUCAUUUGGUGUCUCCAAAAUGGUUAUUUUUUUAUUGUAUUUUGGUUUAUUAUCUUACUUUGGAAUUUCAUUCCUAUUAUAUUGUGGAGUUUCCACUGAAAUGGUCUCAAUUUAAAAUCCUGUUAUGUGAUAUUCCCAGUCUGGUAGUCUCUUCGACAGCGAUCCCUCUUUCUUCCUGGGCUGACUCGAGUGAAGAGACCUAAGCUAAGCUGACCGUUUGGCAAAUAUCAGAUUCCUUUUGGUUGAUAGCCUCUGGUGGUUAGAGGGAGAAAGAGGUACAGUAGUCCUGUUCUAGCAACCUUGUUCUAUGGUGGUAUUUUCAAUUAAAAACAAGUCUCAGACAAAAUUCACCAAGCAUACAGAUAUUUAUUACCAAGCAGGCAAACAACCAUCUGGGUCUAAGGAGAGACUACCCUUCUUUCUACCUUUAGGUUCCCCAGAAAGCCCCUUGCAAGAGCAGUUCCCUCAGAAAUGGAUGCUCUUAAACCCUAAUCAGUGGCCUCAUCACCAGACCAGGUGGUGGGCUCCUCCACGGGAAGAUGCAGGCCAAGGGGCUCUGGAACUUCCACUUCUGGUGUUGCUCUCUGAGCAUAUGAGACUCUCCUACUGUAUUCACGCACAGGUUGUGGGUCUUGUCACCCCACUUCUAACAGAUCUUCAACAAUUUAUUUCACCAAUAAAAAUUACUCAUAACAUUCCUUAUGUUAAUUAACUAACCCAAAGGUAAUCAUUCAGAUAAGGGCUCUUCACAUACUAAUUAACCACUCAUUCCUAGAGUGCUGAUUAGUAUUAACUUGCACACAUACACAUCACUAUUUACGCUGAAGUAUUUUAAGGUAAUUACCAUGUACACAACAUAGCACUAACUUAAACCUGAUUUCGUUUGGGUUGCCAAGUACUUAGCCGUGAGAGAAGAAUCAUGAUUGCUUCUGCUAAUUUAAUCAUGGCAAACUCAGCUUUUUUUUUGUCAGAUAAUCUCCAGACUCUCCUUGUGGCCACAUGAUUGAGUACCGCUCUCUGAAAUGGAAUGAGAAAUAUGCUGAGAAAUACUUUCCUCCCUGAUAAAGAGAGAGACACACAUGAGGCAGUUUCUCAACAUCUUGACUGCUUUUGUUUCUAUCUUUUAUGUGGUCAGAAGAAAAUGUGAUGCUUGUAGCUAAGGCAGCUACCUUGCAAUCAUGAGGCCUCCAGGAUGAGGGUGAACAACUAAAAUGCUGAGGAUGGCAGGAUGGAAAGGGCUGGGUUCUAAUGAUCUUGCUGAAUUAUCAACCUUCCUUGGAACUUCUACUUUGUUUUGCUAAGAAAUAAAUCUAUGAUUUAGUUGUUGUUAGGUUUUCUGUGAUUUUUAACCCAAUAUAUAAAGAUGUAAAGGAGAGAUCUUUCCUAAACAAUGAGUGUCCUAAGUCCUCUCUCUCUCUCUCACACACACACACACACUCGCUUUCCUCCCAUUCCCAAGGCUAAAGCCCUAUCUUCCUCAAAAAGUUAUUGCAAGUCUAUCAUUUCAGAGUGUCUGGUCAGUUCUAGCCUCAGUUUCUUCAUCUCUGAAAUAAGAAAAAUAGUGUCUUCUCUAGAGAUCCCCUGGGCUUAGAAUAAUAAUAAGGUAGUUUAAAUGAGAGAUGAUUUGGGAUGGUGUUUAAAAAAGCAAGUACUCAGGAGAUAGACUGCCUGGAUUAAAAAUUGCAGUUCCACUACUUGUAAACCAAAUGAGCAAAUUAUUUCUCUGUGCCUCAGUUUCCUAAUCUGCAAAGCGAGGAUAAAAAUAAUAACAUGUUUCAAAAAGCUUUGUUAGGCUUUAAUGAGUAAUACAUGUAAGGCACUUAGUAAAAGCAACCAACCAAAGUAAGCACCAUACAAGUAUUAGCUAUCAUCAUCAUAGUCAUUAUUAUUACAUCUGAAAGGCUUUGAAAAAUUUAAGUGCACUAUGUGAAAGCCUAUGUAGAUAAUGAUAACACUGAUCACCCCAAGUUAAGAAUAAAGGACUAUUAGUGAAACCAACAGCACUUACAAUUAGAGGGAAAGAGGAAAGAAAAGAGCAGCUAAGAAAACAAAAGAAAGGGAGGAGAAGGGAGAAGAAGGUUGGGAAGUCAGAAGAAAAGGAAGAGAAGAGGAGAGAAAAUGCAUGAGAAGUGGAAUUGCAGAGUAGAAAUAAGGGCUACAUGACAAGCACAGGAAGAAACCACUCAUUUUCUUUACAGCAGGCAUCAUGUAACUUUGGGAGAACAUCAUUCAGAAUGUACCAUUUCCCACAGAGAAUAAUGUAGCUUACUCACAAUUUCAUCAGUUGUGCCCAAGCUGCAUUAAAAGCCCUUCACCUUAAGGCACUGCCAUGUGGUGUCAUUAUUUCCAUGCCAAACAAAAUCUUUCCCAGGAAACAGAACAGCAAAAGUAAGUGAAAUGUCCAUAAUGCAGUGAGAAAUUCAGGGUCGCUAAGCAUUCCACAUUUGUGAGACUGUCCUGUGUUUGAGAUUCCCACCCUGGUGGCGCCCACGGGGUCCUAUUUUUGAACAAAGAACCAAGCAUCAGCAUGUGUAGCUUGCAUGUGGGGUCCAGAUGCCUCAUUUCCUGGCUCCUGGUACACACUAA